Molecule: ribosomal RNA, 501 nt
Filed under: Prosymna frontalis
Lineage: Eukaryota; Metazoa; Chordata; Lepidosauria; Squamata; Prosymnidae
Description: partial large subunit ribosomal RNA
Rfam family: Bacterial large subunit ribosomal RNA
Source: RNAcentral
AACCUUUAGCCAAACAAGCAUUAAAGGCAAUACCUGCCCAGUGAACAAUUAAACGGCCGCGGUACCCUAACCGUGCAAAGGUAGCGUAAUCAUUUGUCUAUUAAUUGUAGACCUGUAUGAAUGGUAAAAUGAGGACCUGACUGUCUCUUAUAGUAAAUCAAUUAAACUGAUCCCCCAGUACAAAAGCUGGGAUAAAAACAUAAGACCAGAAGACCCUGUGAAGCUUAAACUAACCUAUCAAACCAAAUGAUAGCUACUUUUGGUUGGGGCGACCUUGGAAAAAAAAAGAACUUCCAACACAUGACAUCCCUCAUACAUAGGCCGACAGGCCACACAGACCCAGCAUAGCUGAUAAUCGAACCAAGUUACUCCAGGGAUAACAGCGCCAUCUUCUUCAAGAGCCCAUAUCAAAAAGAAGGUUUACGACCUCGAUGUUGGAUCAGGACAUCCUAAUGGUGCAGCCGCUAUUAAGGGUUCGUUUGUUCAACGAUUAACAGUCCC